GAGGUGAAGGAAGAAGGGGGACAAUGUCACGACCCGGGUCUUAUCCAUUGAUAGCUGACAGGGUACAGCAAGAGUUGGGUGAGGAAGAGUGGUACAGGAGGGAGGAAGGAGAAGGUAGGUCAGAUGCAGAGAAAACAGAGAGAGAGAUGUUCAGAGUCAAUUUCUUCACACCCCACAUGCUGGCCAACUGUGCCCCUUAUAUCACACACGUAACCACACUCUUACAUGUGGGCUUAUGCUCCACAAUACCAGCUCACAGAGCCAUCCGACUUGAGAAUCGCGCUGGUGCUUGCUCGGUCUGCCUGCUGGAUCUGGCUUCUUCAGGGGCAGGCGACUCGUGGUCCGUCAUCAGCACUGACGCUGGUGAGGGCGUGACAGAAAAUGAUUGGCAGUCUGUCACACGCAGACAACAUCAUGUCCGAACAAAAUUCCAUUAUUCCUGCAAACCAUGGUGGUUGGGCUGCUGGUGGCCAUGGUGAAGGAGAAGGUUUCCAGCUACAUGCUAGACUAAUACAUGGUGAUGAAGGGCAUGGAGACGCAGCACAAGAUCCUGAAUCUGAAUCUGCUCCCAGUCAUCCUGAGUCAUCACCAAGGCCGAGAAGGCAGCAACCCACUGAGAAUGGAUCAAGGCCUAGCUCAAGGAGCUCAAGGUGCUUACAAAGAGAAUGAAGUCGUUCAAGUACGAGGUUUUUGCGGCCAACCCAAGAAGAAGGGACACUACUCAGAGAUCGGCUUUGAUGUGAUAAAAGCUCUUUCCAGAUCACAUCCAUUUUAUAUUCCAUAAUAUGAAUGCCUUUGUGUUUAAAUAUGGCAACAAGGGUCGACACCCAAGCAGUAGCGGUAAAUAGAUUCUGUCAUUGGUUGACCCAGAGAACAUUAUAGGCCAAUCAAGAGAUUAAGAGAAGCAUGCCAUUCUACAGACUCUAACUGGUCAACCUAUCACUAAUAGUCUCAUGGUCCUUCCCAAUGUUGUAAUGGGUGGAUUGGGCAAGACCACCUUGGCACACUCACCUACAACGACCCUAUAUGGCUAUAUCCAGAAUCAUUUCCAACUGCAGAGGUGGGUCUGUGGAUCACAGAAUUUUGAUGUUUGUGUCCUAGCCCGCAAGAUCUUCCAAAGCUUUCGAGAGAAGGAAAAUGAGAACAUACUCCAGGAGCUCAGAGGAGAGCUCAGUGGACAUGGGUACCUAUCAGUACUGGAAGAUGCCUGUACCUUUGUAUUGGUGAUAUAUUGCAACAAAGAAAUUGUGUAACUCAUGAGUACGGUUGGAGGCCAGGACAUAGUAGUUUUGGACAGGGAGCUCAUAAAGGAAAUGAUUGAAAAAGGGUAUUCUGUUUGCAGUAGAGCAAAUUGGCUUCUGAGCUGAUUGUUAUGGUUGAUGAGUUUGCGGACAGAUUGUGGUUGGUCUCCUUUAUUUCGCUGCCAAAAAUCACUUGAAUUAGUAAUGCACACCCAAGGCAAGGGCAGAAAAAGGGGAGGCUGUAGUAUACAAAAGCAUCAUUUGACCAAGGGAAUGGUUUUUUUUAGCAAUACUCAAGCUCAGCUGCAACGACUUGGCAUCACGUAUGUAGCAGUCAUUUUUGUUUUAUGUGCUGUGUUUCUCAACAAUUAUGUGAUCCAAGACCACACAUGGCUUUUCCCCUGAACAAAAGGAAAUUCAUUUUGAAACCAUUGGCAAACAAAUUUUCAUUGAGCUGGAGUCUUAGGUCGUUCUUUCAGGACGUGAAGCAGGUCACAGUCAACGAAAUUGUGCACAUUGAGGGGUGUUAUUCCAGAUAAACAUGUACUCCCUCCGUUCCCAAAUAUUUGUCUUUCUAGGCAUUUCAAAUGGACUCAACAUACGGAUGUAUGUAUACAUAUUUUAAAGUGUAGAUUCACUCAUUUUGCGCCGUAUGUAGUCACUUGUUGAAAUCUCUAGAAAGACAAGUAUUUAGGAACGGAGGGAGUAAAAUCCAAGAUCUGAUGUAUGAUAUUGCACUGUCUCUAUGGAAAGAAGUAUGUGUUGUAGGAAGCAAAUCAGAUCGAGUGGCUUCAAAUAAUUCUGAUGUGUGUCCCUUUCAAAACUGUUACAGAGACCCUUUGCUGUAUGAACUAUUUGAACCGCUAUCUACUUGCUCAUCAAGGAAAACUAUUUAUAUGCUCUGUUCAAGAAAUUCACGAGGAUUGCCCUCAGUAUGCAUAAAUGUUAACUGAACUUUGCGCUGGAUACAAGAGUAGUCCAUCUAUCAAGUUACAGAAACAUGAGGAAUCACAUGGUGAAAAACUGAGUUUCUAUAAAAUUUCCGUGUUUCGUUUUCUUAGUGUAAUAAGAAUUGCCUAGCAGUCUCAAUCUUGUAAGUUGACGUUUCUAAUGUUAUGAUGUUACUGCUGCAUCAAGACUUUUACUAAUGUGGAGUGCUUCAAGGCCCAUAACCAAACUAUUCAUUGGCAUGUUCAUUGUGGUGUCUGUGGCACUAAACAGCUUAAGAAGACUUCAAGCGGCAUCAGUUAAUGCAUGACGGUUAAUUUGUCACUUAGAGGAUGAAAUGCAACUUGGGGAAUUGCAAGUGCUCAUUUCAAAGCUUUCAACUUCAGAAAUCCAAUUUGGACAAUCCAAUCUGAUUCUCUGGGUGUGGCAAGAAGUUUUCAUACAAGGGACAAUCACUAGAAAUCUAGUGCUCACGUGCAUGCUGAGGUAAACACACAAAAUAACCACUCAAAUCUUUGGCUCCUGUGCUCAUGUUACUCUUGCUAGGAACUUCUAGUCCGCACUAGGAUGUUCACAAUUUUGCAUCAAAUCUUUGCAGGGCGAUUUUGUGGAGUGAUGCAAGAGGAAGCCCAUU
Long non-coding RNA from Triticum aestivum (bread wheat), 2823 nucleotides. RefSeq lists it as uncharacterized. NCBI's taxonomy places the organism in Eukaryota, Viridiplantae, Streptophyta, Magnoliopsida, Poales, Poaceae. The record is from RefSeq and is a predicted model, not a curated record. The transcript has 3 exons.